GGGUUGUGAGGUUAAGCGACUAAGCGUACACGGUGGAUGCCCUGGCAGUCAGAGGCGAUGAAGGGCGUGCUAAUCUGCGAUAAGCGCCGGUAAGGUGAUAUGAACCGUUAUAACCGGCGAUACCCGAAUGGGGAAACCCAGUGUGAUUCGUCACACUAUCAUUAACUGAAUCCAUAGGUUAAUGAGGCGAACCGGGGGAACUGAAACAUCUAAGUACCCCGAGGAAAAGAAAUCAACCGAGAUUCCCCCAGUAGCGGCGAGCGAACGGGGAGGAGCCCAGAGCCUGAAUCAGCAUGUGUGUUAGUGGAAGCGUCUGGAAAGGCGCGCGAUACAGGGUGACAGCCCCGUACACAAAAGCGCAUAUGCUGUGAGCUCGAUGAGUAGGGCGGGACACGUGGUAUCCUGUCUGAAUAUGGGGGGACCAUCCUCCAAGGCUAAAUACUCCUGACUGACCGAUAGUGAACCAGUACCGUGAGGGAAAGGCGAAAAGAACCCCGGCGAGGGGAGUGAAAAAGAACCUGAAACCGUGUACGUACAAGCAGUGGGAGCCCCACCACUAAGCCAGUGGUGAACUCCACAUACGCAUCCUUUGCUGAGGAGACGGUUAACGGAGCGAAAGCGACGUUCAACCUCAAAAGAAGCAGAGGGGGCUUAGUGGUGGGGUGACUGCGUACCUUUUGUAUAAUGGGUCAGCGACUUAUAUUCUGUAGCAAGGUUAACUGUAUAGGGGAGCCGGAGGGAAACCGAGUCUUAACCGGGCGUUAAGUUGCAGGGUAUAGACCCGAAACCCGGUGAUCUAGCCAUGGGCAGGUUGAAGGUUGGGUAACACUAACUGGAGGACCGAACCGACUAAUGUUGAAAAAUUAGCGGAUGACCUGUGGCUGGGGGUGAAAGGCCAAUCAAACCGGGAGAUAGCUGGUUCUCCCCGAAAGCUAUUUAGGUAGCGCCUCGUGAAUUCAUCUCCGGGGGUAGAGCACUGUUUCGGCUAGGGGGCCAUCCCGGCUUACCAACCCGAUGCAAACUGCGAAUACCGGAGAAUGUUAUCACGGGAGACACACGGCGGGUGCUAAUGUCCGUCGUGAAGAGGGAAACAACCCAGACCGCCAGCUAAGGUCCCAAAGUCAUGGUUAAGUGGGAAACGAUGUGGGAAGGCCCAGACAGCCAGGAUGUUGGCUUAGAAGCAGCCAUCAUUUAAAGAAAGCGUAAUAGCUCACUGGUCGAGUCGGCCUGCGCGGAAGAUGUAACGGGGCUAAACCAUGCACCGAAGCUGCGGCAGCGACACCGUGUGUUGUUGGGUAGGGGAGCGUUCUGUAAGCCUGUGAAGGUGUGCUGUGAGGCAUGCUGGAGGUAUCAGAAGUGCGAAUGCUGACAUAAGUAACGAUAAAGCGGGUGAAAAGCCCGCUCGCCGGAAGACCAAGGGUUCCUGUCCAACGUUAAUCGGGGCAGGGUGAGUCGACCCCUAA
RNAcentral lists this ribosomal RNA (1463 nucleotides) under Salmonella enterica subsp. enterica serovar Typhi str. CT18. Its description in RNAcentral is "partial 23S ribosomal RNA". It matches the Rfam family "Bacterial large subunit ribosomal RNA", at positions 1 to 1394 of the family's 2925-position model. Lineage: Bacteria; Pseudomonadati; Pseudomonadota; Gammaproteobacteria; Enterobacterales; Enterobacteriaceae. The record is from RNAcentral.